GUUCCGAGAUCCAGACAUGUUGGAGGAACCAAGUGCUACUUCUCUUUUCUAUAGAGCUCCUGAAAAUCGGGAAAUGCAAAAACCAUCCACUCAACAAGCAGAUGUCUACAGGUCCUCCUCUUGGAACUCCUGACUGGCAAAACUCCUUUCCAGGACGUUGUUCAGGAACAUGGUUCAGACAUUCCAAGGUGGGUUCGGUCAGUACGCGAGGAAGAGACAGAGUCUGGGGAUGAGCCUGCCUCAGGUAAUGAGGCAGGUGAGGAGAAACUUCGAACUCUUGUAAAUGUUGCAAUGGCAUGUGUCUCAUAUGCGCCAGAGAACCGGCCCUCAAUGAGGGACGUUCUGAAGAUGAUAAGAGAUUCAAGGGCAGAAGCUCAUGUUUCAUCCAAUAGCAGUGACCAUUCACCUGGACGAUGGUCCGACACUGUUCAGAGCUUGCCUAGAGAAG
Molecule: unclassified non-coding RNA, 448 nt
Filed under: Hevea brasiliensis (rubber tree)
Lineage: Eukaryota; Viridiplantae; Streptophyta; Magnoliopsida; Malpighiales; Euphorbiaceae
Source: RNAcentral